This 374-nucleotide ribosomal RNA is filed under the name uncultured eukaryote. Its description in RNAcentral is "partial small subunit ribosomal RNA". It matches the Rfam family "Eukaryotic small subunit ribosomal RNA", at positions 587 to 972 of the family's 1831-position model. The record is from RNAcentral.
AGCUCCAAUAGCGUAUAUUAAAGUUGUUGCAGUUAAAAAGCUCGUAGUUGGCCUUGUGGGAAGGGUUGUGGUCCGAUUUUCGGUACCGCGACCCGGCCCAUCAUUGGACUAAGCCAUGAUGCCAUUAACUUGGUGUUGUGGGGCGGUUCAACGUUUACUGUGAGAAAAUCAGAGCGUUCAAAGCAAGCGGUAAUGCUAUGAAUGUGUUAGCAUGGAAUAAUGAGAUAGGGCCUCGGUGCUAUUUCGUUGGUUUGCGCGUUGAGGCAAUGACUAAUAGGGACAGUUGGGGGUAUUGGUAUCACAUGGCCAGGGGUGAAAUCUAAAAAUCCAUGUGCGACCAACUACUGCGAAAGCAUUUACCAAGGAUGUUUUCA